This 69-nucleotide transfer RNA is filed under the name Marmota monax (woodchuck). RNAcentral describes it as "tRNA.Val". The record is from RNAcentral. Lineage: Eukaryota; Metazoa; Chordata; Mammalia; Rodentia; Sciuridae.
GGGGUUGUGGCUCAGUGGUACAGCGCUUGACUGACAUGUAGGGCCUUGAGUUCAAUUCUCAGCACUACA